RNAcentral lists this ribosomal RNA (439 nucleotides) under uncultured bacterium. RNAcentral describes it as "bacterial SSU rRNA". It matches the Rfam family "Bacterial small subunit ribosomal RNA", at positions 959 to 1397 of the family's 1533-position model. The record is from RNAcentral.
ACGCGAGGAACCUUACCAGGUCUUGACAUCCUCUGACACUCCUAGAGAUAGGACGUUCCCCUUCGGGGGACAGAGUGACAGGUGGUGCAUGGUUGUCGUCAGCUCGUGUCGUGAGAUGUUGGGUUAAGUCCCGCAACGAGCGCAACCCUUGAUCUUAGUUGCCAGCAUUAAGUUGGGCACUCUAAGGUGACUGCCGGUGACAAACCGGAGGAAGGUGGGGAUGACGUCAAAUCAUCAUGCCCCUUAUGACCUGGGCUACACACGUGCUACAAUGGGUGGUACAAAGGGCAGCAAAACCGCGAGGUCGAGCCAAUCCCAUAAAACCACUCUCAGUUCGGAUUGUAGGCUGCAACUCGCCUACAUGAAGCUGGAAUCGCUAGUAAUCGCGGAUCAGCAUGCCGCGGUGAAUACGUUCCCGGGCCUUGCACACACCGCCCGU